This 497-nucleotide ribosomal RNA is filed under the name uncultured bacterium. RNAcentral describes it as "partial 16S ribosomal RNA". It matches the Rfam family "Bacterial small subunit ribosomal RNA", at positions 28 to 507 of the family's 1533-position model. The record is from RNAcentral.
GAUGAACGCUGGCGGCGUGCCUAAUACAUGCAAGUCGAGCGAACAGAUGAGGAGCUUGCUCCUCUGACGUUAGCGGCGGACGGGUGAGUAACACGUGGAUAACCUACCUAUAAGACUGGGAUAACUUCGGGAAACCGUAGCUAAUACCGGAUAAUAUAUUGAACCGCAUGGUUCAAUAGUGAAAGACGGUUUUGCUGUCACUUAUAGAUGGAUCCGCGCCGCAUUAGCUAGUUGGUAAGGUAACGGCUUACCAAGGCGACGAUGCGUAGCCGACCUGAGAGGGUGAUCGGCCACACUGGAACUGAGACACGGUCCAGACUCCUACGGGAGGCAGCAGUAGGGAAUCUUCCGCAAUGGGCGAAAGCCUGACGGAGCAACGACGCGUGAGUGAUGAAGGUCUUCGGAUCGUAAAACUCUGUUAUUAGGGAAGAACAAAUGUGUAAGUAACUAUGCACGUCUUGACGGUACCUAAUCAGAAAGCCACGGCUAACUACGUG